GACGAACGCUGGCGGCGUGCUUAACACAUGCAAGUCGAACGGAAAGGCCCUGCUUUUGUGGGGUGCUCGAGUGGCGAACGGGUGAGUAACACGUGAGUAACCUGCCCUUGACUUAGGGAUAACUUCAGGAAACUGGGGCUAAUACCGGAUAUGAGCUCCUGCUGCAUGGUGGGGGUUGGAAAGUUUCGGCGGUUGGGGAUGGACUCGCGGCUUAUCAGCUUGUUGGUGGGGUAGUGGCUUACCAAGGCUUUGACGGGUAGCCGGCCUGAGAGGGUGACCGGCCACAUUGGGACUGAGAUACGGCCCAGACUCCUACGGGAGGCAGCAGUGGGGAACAUGGCACAAUGGGCGGAAGCCUGAUGCAGCAACGCCGCGUGCGGGAUGACGGCCUUCGGGUUGUAAACCGCUUUCGCCUGUGACGAAGCGUGAGUGACGGUAAUGGGUAAAGAAGCACCGGCUAACUACGUG
This 468-nucleotide ribosomal RNA is filed under the name uncultured bacterium. Its description in RNAcentral is "partial 16S ribosomal RNA". It matches the Rfam family "Bacterial small subunit ribosomal RNA", at positions 28 to 507 of the family's 1533-position model. The record is from RNAcentral.